GGGCACGUGAGGGAGCACUCUCCCCUGAGUGCUUCCUCUUCAGCUCUCUCGCGCACCACACUGAAACCGAAGCCUGAAGAUGACGUAAUCUUCUGGCUCCGGUAUCAGUACGCAGCGCGAGAGGGAGCUGAAGAGGGAGCACUCAGGGGAGAGUGCUCCCUCGUGCGC
Molecule: microRNA precursor, 168 nt
Filed under: Pelobates cultripes (western spadefoot toad)
Lineage: Eukaryota; Metazoa; Chordata; Amphibia; Anura; Pelobatidae
Source: RNAcentral